RNAcentral lists this ribosomal RNA (253 nucleotides) under uncultured bacterium. Its description in RNAcentral is "partial 16S ribosomal RNA". It matches the Rfam family "Bacterial small subunit ribosomal RNA", at positions 524 to 776 of the family's 1533-position model. The record is from RNAcentral.
UACGUAGGGGGCAAGCGUUGUCCGGAAUCAUUGGGCGUAAAGCGCGUGUAGGCGGCUUGGUAAGUCUGCUCUGAAAGCCCGGGGCUCAACCCCGGAAUUGCCUUUAAGACUGCAUCGCUUGAAUCCGGGAGAGGUGAGUGGAAUUCCGAGUGUAGAGGUGAAAUUCGUAGAUAUUCGGAAGAACACCAGUGGCGAAGGCGGCUCACUGGACCGGCAUUGACGCUGAGGUGCGAAAGCGUGGGGAGCAGACAGG